CCUACGGGAGGCAGCAGUGAGGAAUAUUGGUCAAUGGGCGGAAGCCUGAACCAGCCAAGUCGCGUGAGGGAUUAAGGCCCUGCGGGUCGUAAACCUCUUUUGCCGGGGAGCAGUGGUCCGGACGUGUCCGGGCCGGGAGAGUACCCGGAGAAAAAGCAUCGGCAAACUCCGUGCCAGCAGCCGCGGUAAUACGGGGGAUGCGAGGGUUAUCCGGUUUUAUUGGGUUUAAAGGGUGCGUAGGCGGGCAUUUAAGCCGGCGGUCAAAUGUCGGGGCUCAACCCCGGCCUGCCGUCGGAACUGGGUGCCUUGAGUAGGCGAGAGGUAGGCGGAAUGCGUGGUGUAGCGGUGAAAUGCAUAGAUAUCACGCAGAACCCCGAUUGCGAAGGCAGCAUACCGGCGCCCUACUGACGCUGAGGCACGAAAGUGCGGGUAUCGAACAGGAUUAGAUACCCUUGUAGUC
Molecule: ribosomal RNA, 460 nt
Filed under: uncultured bacterium
Lineage: Bacteria
Description: partial 16S ribosomal RNA
Rfam family: Bacterial small subunit ribosomal RNA
Source: RNAcentral